UUACUGGGUGUAAAGGGAGCGUAGACGGCGAAGCAAGUCUGAAGUGAAAACCCAGGGCUCAACCCUGGGACUGCUUUGGAAACUGUUUUGCUAGAGUGUCGGAGAGGUAAGUGGAAUUCCUAGUGUAGCGGUGAAAUGCGUAGAUAUUAGGAGGAACACCAGUGGCGAAGGCGGCUUACUGGACGAUAACUGACGUUAAGGCUCGAAAGCGUGGGGAGCAAACAGGAUUAGAUACCCUGG
This 240-nucleotide ribosomal RNA is filed under the name uncultured Bacillota bacterium. RNAcentral's name for it is "uncultured Firmicutes bacterium partial 16S ribosomal RNA". It matches the Rfam family "Bacterial small subunit ribosomal RNA", at positions 551 to 790 of the family's 1533-position model. Lineage: Bacteria; Bacillati; Bacillota. The record is from RNAcentral.